UACGAAGGGGCGUAGCGUUGCUCGGAAUCACUGGGCGGUAAAGACGCACGUAGGCGGACUCUUAAGUCGGGGUGGAAAUCCUGGAGCUCAACUCCAGAACUGCCUUCGAUACUGGGAGUCUUCGAGUUCGGGAGAGGUGAGUGGAACUGCGAGUGUAGAGGUGAAAUUCGUAGAUAUUCGCAAGAACACCAGUGGCGAAGGCGGCUCACUGG
RNAcentral lists this ribosomal RNA (212 nucleotides) under uncultured bacterium. RNAcentral's name for it is "partial 16S ribosomal RNA". It matches the Rfam family "Bacterial small subunit ribosomal RNA", at positions 524 to 732 of the family's 1533-position model. The record is from RNAcentral.